GACGAACGCUGGCGGCGUGCCUAAUACAUGCAAGUAGAACGCUGAAGGAGGAGCUUGCUUCUCUGGAUGAGUUGCGAACGGGUGAGUAACGCGUAGGUAACCUGCCUGGUAGCGGGGGAUAACUAUUGGAAACGAUAGCUAAUACCGCAUAAUAGUAGUUGUUGCAUGACAUUUGCUUAAAAGGUGCAAUUGCACCACUACCAGAUGGACCUGCGUUGUAUUAGCUAGUUGGUGGGGUAACGGCUCACCAAGGCGACGAUACAUAGCCGACCUGAGAGGGUGAUCGGCCACACUGGGACUGAGACACGGCCCAGACUCCUACGGGAGGCAGCAGUAGGGAAUCUUCGGCAAUGGACGGAAGUCUGACCGAGCAACGCCGCGUGAGUGAAGAAGGUUUUCGGAUCGUAAAGCUCUGUUGUAAGAGAAGAACGAGUGUGAGAGUGGAAAGUUCACACUGUGACGGUAUCUUACCAGAAAGGGACGGCUAACUACGUG
This 495-nucleotide ribosomal RNA is filed under the name uncultured bacterium. RNAcentral describes it as "partial 16S ribosomal RNA". It matches the Rfam family "Bacterial small subunit ribosomal RNA", at positions 28 to 507 of the family's 1533-position model. The record is from RNAcentral.